CCCAGCUAGUAGAAAAGCAUAAGCUCCAGCGUAUCCCUUUCCCUGAACCGCGUAAGCUCAGUGGAUUCGACGGCCCCAGAGGAUCCGCCUCCUACAACAUGGUAAGAUUUAAUGUCGAUGUAGGAGGGCACGAGAAAAAGAACGUUUACGCAUACGAAGUGCAGGACCUUGAGUACGACUUAAUGCUCGGCCUGUCAUGGCUUACGGAAUUUGGAACCUUGUUAGACGCACGCAACCGUUGUCUUAUUUUCCCAGGAAGCGACCGCGUCUAUGAGAAGGAUGUCGAUAGGACUGCUGAUCUCACUCAGAUAUCGGCAGAAGCGUUCAAGCUAUUAACCCGCCAAGCGCGCGAGAAGAAGAACGUCCAAGUGUUCGCUGCUAGUAUGGCGGAUAUCAAGAAAGCGUUAGAAAAGCUAGAACCUAAGGACCCCAAGAAGCCCCGCAAGGAACUCCCCGAAUCGUAUAAGGACUUCGCAGACGUGUUCGAUGAAAAGGCGGCCGAAGAGCUCCCCCCCCACCGAGGACGCGGCAU
Molecule: small RNA, 532 nt
Filed under: Histoplasma capsulatum
Lineage: Eukaryota; Fungi; Ascomycota; Eurotiomycetes; Onygenales; Ajellomycetaceae
Also listed under: 1 other name
Description: hypothetical RNA
Source: RNAcentral